CAGUCGCCACGGUAAUACGUAGGGUGCGAGCGUUAAUCGGAAUUACUGGGCGUAAAGCGUGCGCAGGCGGCGACAUAAGACAGAUGUGAAAUCCCCGGGCUCAACCUGGGAACGGCGUUUGUGACUGUGUGGCUAGAGUGUAGCAGAGGGGGGUGGAAUUCCACGUGUAGCAGUGAAAUGCGUAGAGAUGUGGAGGAACACCGAUGGCGAAGGCAGCCCCCUGGGUUAACACUGACGCUCAUGCACGAAAGCGUGGGGAGCAAACAGGAUUAGAUACCCCGGUAGUCCCUGUCUCUUAUAC
This 301-nucleotide ribosomal RNA is filed under the name uncultured bacterium. RNAcentral describes it as "partial 16S ribosomal RNA". It matches the Rfam family "Bacterial small subunit ribosomal RNA", at positions 509 to 807 of the family's 1533-position model. The record is from RNAcentral.